Molecule: ribosomal RNA, 1001 nt
Filed under: Triticum aestivum (bread wheat)
Lineage: Eukaryota; Viridiplantae; Streptophyta; Magnoliopsida; Poales; Poaceae
Description: partial small subunit ribosomal RNA
Source: RNAcentral
CUACAAGCGGCGGUCAUAUGUGGGAACAGGGGUCUCCGGCGGAGAGAAAAGGAGCAGCGGCGGUGAUCCAGCAUGGAGUUUCUGAUGCAGCCAUUCAGCAGUGUCCUUGAAGAAGUAGGAGAGAGCUUGGUGCCGGCCCCUGUGCUGAGGGCGCCGACGGGAGGCGGUAUGCUGGUGGAGCAGGAUAUGGCGGUCAGAACCACUGUCCUUGAGGAACUAGGAGAUUGGUUGAUGCCGGACGCUGUGCUGCCUUGUUCGAGGGGAGAUGGUACGGUGGAAGAGCAGCAAGUGGCAGAGCAGCCAUGAGCGGUGGACAGCGCGGGUGCUCAGGUUUUUGCUGCCACUGAUGCCCUGGUGGGGAGGAGGGAUAGUUCGCCUCCGACGUCAGAGCUGUCAACUGCGAAGAUGAAUCUCCUGGUUGGAACUAGAGGCUGAGAAUUGGGGCUGCCGCACCGAGCAGAACACCCUGCCCAAAUUAUGUCAGCGCGUUUGAGAAGGCUAGGAGUUAUGCCGACAAACCGGCUGAGAAUUUGAUCACACCAGUGAUUGGCACUACUUUUGACUCUUUGGGUGAGGCUUAUGACUUCUAUAAUUUGUAUUCAUGGGAGAAAGGCUUCGUCAUCCGAUAUGGGAAGGGCCGGCUGAAUCUCGAGAGGACACCCGGGUCUAUCUCGCGCACUACUGAAGGUACUGCGAUGGCUGUACCUUGAGAGGCACAUUGGUGAGUACGAGCGGGCUUAUCUUAAGAAGCAGAUUGCAUACGAGGUGAUCUCAGUGAAGGGGAACAAGGGUGAGCACCCAAGCUUCAUGAUCGAGGAAGUGCUGUUCCGAUGAAGACCGGAGUGGCUGUCUCAUUGUCUGCUUAGUUAUAUUAUGCAUUUACCAUGAGUUUGCAAAAAACUAGUUAUAUUAUGCAUUUACCAUCAGUGGUUGUCUCAUUAUCUGUUUGCAAAUAGUUAUCUAAAAUGGAUCCUGAAGGUCGAAUACAAAUUAUAUUAUGC